Molecule: long non-coding RNA, 1780 nt
Filed under: Calidris pugnax (ruff)
Lineage: Eukaryota; Metazoa; Chordata; Aves; Charadriiformes; Scolopacidae
Description: lncRNA (ENSCPUG00000011299.1)
Source: RNAcentral
CCUGUGAUGGAGAGAUCAAAUGCAGCUGUAGGUGUCACUGGGAAAUGUGGGCUGUUCUAGUGACAAUGUAGUGGUGGGGAUGCAUGUACCAAAAAAAAAUGCUUUUAUUUUUUUCAUUUUUAACGGUGAAGUUGUUAUUGACUGUUCUGGCUCUCCCUCAUUUUGCUUUAAGUCCCAGGUCUUUUACUUGUUUGCUUUUACCCACACUGAAACGCGUGCUCUGAAGCUGUCAGAAGUCAAUAAAAUAUCUAUGUGAUGUGUCAUUCCCUCUCGGCUGCGCAGGGAUGCUGCCAUCCCUUAACGACACGGAGAUGGAGAGUCUUCAGGUGAGUGAUUUUAGAUACCUACAAGACAGACAAUCAAUGCAGCGAGGCACGCUUGCCAAUUAAAGAACCGCACUAGAGGAUCUUUUACAGUCAAACGCAUGAGCUACACACUGAAAAGUUUUACUUAAAACUGCCCAAAAUCAUGGGUUCUGCUGAGAGCAGGAGGCUGGGUGGGUACGUGGGGAGGGCUCGGGCAGUUUUUCCCCAGCAGUUUCCUGGGAGAACGGCUGCUGCUCUGUCGCUCCAGUGGGACACCGGCACUCGGGGGGUUCGGGGACAUGGAAAAUGAAUCAUGCAGCAUCACACAGGGGCACGUUAAAUCCCCUCUUCUGAACUUGAAUCGUAAUUAGUUCUACAAAUUGAAUAAAUGAAUGUUUAAUUAAAAUACAGCCUAAUUAUCCAACGUAUGCUUUUAAUAGGACCUAAUUGUGGUAUUUUGAGUUAUUUAAAUUGCUGAUACACUGAAACGAUCUGUUGGCUGCGCCUGUUAGACUGUUGCCUGCUUGCAUUUGUUAAAAUCUGAGCAGUUUUACGUUUGUGUGUGCUGCUGAUGUUUGUGUCCCCUCCUGCAGAAGGACAGGCGGGUGCUGGUGAUGGAUGCUCAUCAACGCCACUGAAGGUUUUAAUCAGGAUCCUUUUCCCUGGCUGAAGGCUAGAACAGCUCUUCUGCAGCUUUGCUGGGAGGAAGACUUCAGUGCCCCUCCUGUGGAGCCCACCCUUCCCAAAGAUCACGAUACUGCUCAAAGCAACAGGAACCGAUGCCAUGGGGUGCAGCGGUGGGGACCAGCCCGGCUACCAGAGCCCAGGCACCAGGACAGCCAUUGGCAUGGUGGCACCUCCCACCCCCUGUCAGCGUGGCCCAGUGCCUGGGAGGAACAGACAUCUUGAAGCAAGAACACUAUUUUUUAUGCUAUGGUCUUUCCAAGUCCUAGCAAAGCCAUGAAAAAUGCCACAAUUCUGCAGGAAGGGAGACGAGGCCAUGCCAAACCAUGGCAUCUCCCACAAGCGGGACAACAUGAAGUCAAGAGAUCGUGAGGUCUGUGUGUUCCCAGCCCUGAGUCAGCCCCCAAGUUUUUUUUGAAGCAAUAUUUAAUUUACAUUUUCAGAAGCAUCCAGAAUCAACCAGCUUGGCUAGCCCAAGCCCGACGGCACAUACUCACUUAAGUUUUAUUUAGCCACGACAGCGUUUUCAUGGACAUUGGGUAUUACUGGAGCCUGUCUCAGUCUGCUCUGGAGAGCCGCAGCGUUGAGGUAAUGUCCUGUGGGGCUGCCAUUAGCUGGUGAAGCUGAGAGAACGCUGGGGAGCAGCUGGAAGGGCUGAGAGCCUGCUUUGUGCUCGCACUGUCUGACUUUUCUGAUGCUUGACUUUGUGGCUGCGUUUCCCACUGUGCAGCCAGGAACUUCAUGCUUUCGCUUCAGUAAAAUAAAUUGUGUUGUUGGCCUUUAAGCUCUCA